CGUAUUAAUAUUGGAAUUUGGUGAUUUAACAUUGCAGAAACAGUAACGCCUGUAUUCCAAAAGCUCACUCACACUCACUGAGUGAAAGAUCGCAAUAACCUUAUAACCACUCUAUGACGGUAUUUCCACUCGGCCGAGAGCUCAGUUAUUUUACUGUGUCACCAGGGUGUUAGCCAGGCGGCCGGCCGACCGUCCUAUGGACGGCCACUUCUGAAUUUGGACGGCUAAAUUUUAAUGGAUGGCCAUGGACGGCCUAAGGGAAUAUUUUCUUUAAAAAGCA
This is a non-coding RNA of Paramuricea clavata, 280 nucleotides long. The record is from the annotation of a GenBank genome assembly. NCBI's taxonomy places the organism in Eukaryota, Metazoa, Cnidaria, Anthozoa, Malacalcyonacea, Plexauridae.